RNAcentral lists this transfer RNA (88 nucleotides) under Tenacibaculum sp. MAR_2009_124. RNAcentral describes it as "tRNA_Leu_GAG". It matches the Rfam family "tRNA". From Rfam's summary of the family: Transfer RNA (tRNA) molecules are approximately 80 nucleotides in length. The record is from RNAcentral. Lineage: Bacteria; Pseudomonadati; Bacteroidota; Flavobacteriia; Flavobacteriales; Flavobacteriaceae.
GCGCAUAUGGCGGAAUUGGUAGACGCGCUGCCUUGAGGGGGCAGUAUUCAUUAUGGAUGUGGAAGUUCGAAUCUUCUUAUGCGCACAA